UGUUUUGUCCGGUGAAAGAAAUAUAUCUGGGGGAGUCAUAGUUUUGUUCUUCACUUUCUCCUGGUGAUUUUUCUGCUUUCUUCGGAAAUUAAAAGAAACGUAAUAAAAAAUCUCAAUCAGUGAACUCGAUUGAGACAUAGCUAUAUCAAACUACUGAUGCCGUUUAUGUUGGUUGGCGGUGUAAGAAAAUUCUCUUGACGUUCUCUGAAUUUGGAAAGAGAUCUGGUGCAGAUGAACACAAGUUACAUUUCUGGAGAUUGAACUUUGAAUUUUGCUAAAACCAGUGGAUGCUGGCAACUUAUGCAAGAUCACGGGGGGUGUUCGUGCUUGCGAUGUUACUUUCUUUUGGUUGUAUCUAUUUUCAUUCCUAUUGCAUUUUUAUGGGAUGUCAUACACGGGUUCUAACUUUCACAUUUUAUGGUCCCAUGCCCGAAUAUCGACUUCGAUCCAAGGGAGUGACUCAUUUCUUCAAUUCAUUUCGACCAAGCUACACAACAUAAACAUAACAUUAAUUGUAUUUUUAUUGUUAAAAUACCACAUACUGACUAUGGCGAUCGCUCUCACUGAUAUUUGAAUGUGAAACACGGUGCUUGGCAUUUUGGACACUUCAUUUGAGUAGUUCUUUUUAUUUGGAGUGUAGAUGUCAGUAACAAGUCUACUAGCUUACUCGUUUUUUUUUCAAA
Long non-coding RNA from Papaver somniferum (opium poppy), 683 nucleotides. RefSeq lists it as uncharacterized. The record is from RefSeq and is a predicted model, not a curated record. NCBI's taxonomy places the organism in Eukaryota, Viridiplantae, Streptophyta, Magnoliopsida, Ranunculales, Papaveraceae. The transcript is spliced from 2 exons.